UACGUAGGGGGCAAGCGUUGUCCGGAAUCAUUGGGCGUAAAGCGCGUGUAGGCGGUUCAGUAAGUCUGCUGUGAAAGUCCAGGGCUCAACCCUGGGAUGCCGGUGGAUACUGCUGGGCUAGAGUACGGAAGAGGCGAGUGGAAUUCCCGGUGUAGCGGUGAAAUGCGCAGAUAUCGAGAGGAACACCGGUGGCGAAGGCGGCCAACUGGACGAAUACUGACGCUGAGACUCGAAAGCUAGGGGAGCAAACAGG
RNAcentral lists this ribosomal RNA (253 nucleotides) under uncultured bacterium. RNAcentral describes it as "partial 16S ribosomal RNA". It matches the Rfam family "Bacterial small subunit ribosomal RNA", at positions 524 to 776 of the family's 1533-position model. The record is from RNAcentral.